RNAcentral lists this ribosomal RNA (247 nucleotides) under uncultured bacterium. Its description in RNAcentral is "partial 16S ribosomal RNA". It matches the Rfam family "Bacterial small subunit ribosomal RNA", at positions 523 to 769 of the family's 1533-position model. The record is from RNAcentral.
AUACGUAGGUGGCAAGCGUUGUCCGGAUUUACUGGGUGUAAAGGGCGAGUAGGCGGGACUGCAAGUCAGGUGUGAAAUGCGGAGGCUCAACCUCCGACUUGCAUUUGAAACUGUGGUUCUUGAGUGAUGGAGAGGCAGGCGGAAUUCCCGGUGUAGCGGUGGAAUGCGUAGAUAUUAGGAGGAACACCAGUGGCGAAGGCGGCUUACUGGACUGUAACUGACGUUGAGGCUCGAAAGCGUGGGGAGC